Molecule: ribosomal RNA, 495 nt
Filed under: uncultured bacterium
Lineage: Bacteria
Description: partial 16S ribosomal RNA
Rfam family: Bacterial small subunit ribosomal RNA
Source: RNAcentral
GACGAACGCUGGCGGCGUGCCUAAUACAUGCCAGUAGAACGCUGAAGGAGGAGCUUGCUUCUCUGGAUGAGUUGCGAACGGGUGAGUAACGCGUAGGUAACCUGCCUGGUAGCGGGGGAUAACUAUUGGAAACGAUAGCUAAUACCGCAUAAUAGUAGAUGUUGCAUGACAUUUGCUUAAAAGGUGCAAUUGCAUCACUACCAGAUGGACCUGCGUUGUAUUAGCUAGUUGGUGGGGUAACGGCUCACCAAGGCGACGAUACAUAGCCGACCUGAGAGGGGGAUCGGCCACACUGGGACUGAGACACGGCCCAGACUCCUACGGGAGGCAGCAGUAGGGAAUCUUCGGCAAUGGACGGAAGUCUGACCGAGCAACGCCGCGUGAGUGAAGAAGGUUUUCGGAUCGUAAAGCUCUGUUGUAAGAGAAGAACGAGUGUGAGAGUGGAAAGUUCACACUGUGACGGUAUCUUACCAGAAAGGGACGGCUAACUACGUG